ACGGGUGAGUAAUGUCUGGGGAUCUGCCCGAUAGAGGGGGAUAACCACUGGAAACGGUGGCUAAUACCGCAUAACGUCGCAAGACCAAAGAGGGGGACCUUCGGGCCUCUCACUAUCGGAUGAACCCAGAUGGGAUUAGCUAGUAGGCGGGGUAAUGGCCCACCUAGGCGACGAUCCCUAGCUGGUCUGAGAGGAUGACCAGCCACACUGGAACUGAGACACGGUCCAGACUCCUACGGGAGGCAGCAGUGGGGAAUAUUGCACAAUGGGCGCAAGCCUGAUGCAGCCAUGCCGCGUGUAUGAAGAAGGCCUUCGGGUUGUAAAGUACUUUCAGCGGGGAGGAAGGCGGUGAGGUUAAUAACCUUACCGAUUGACGUUACCCGCAGAAGAAGCACCGGCUAACUCCGUGCCAGCAGCCGCGGUAAUACGGAGGGUGCAAGCGUUAAUCGGAAUUACUGGGCGUAAAGCGCACGCAGGCGGUCUGUUAAGUCAGAUGUGAAAUCCCCGGGCUUAACCUGGGAACUGCAUUUGAAACUGGCAGGCUUGAGUCUUGUAGAGGGGGGUAGAAUUCCAGGUGUAGC
Molecule: ribosomal RNA, 581 nt
Filed under: uncultured bacterium
Lineage: Bacteria
Description: bacterial SSU rRNA
Rfam family: Bacterial small subunit ribosomal RNA
Source: RNAcentral